ACUGACUGGGUACUGGUGAAGUUCCCCGCAGGAACUGAGUCAGACCCCAUCUCAGGGCCCUGCAGAAGAUAGGUGCCUGCUCUAAGGCGUGGACCCUCGCGACAGCCCUGGCCCGUCUUGACGGGCGAGGGUUACUGUACUUGUCCCAACCGUACAGAUGAGAAAGCUCAGACUCAGGGCCAGCAACCCCGGUCCCAGCGGAGCGCCCGGCACGCGCCGACACUUCAGCACCAGUCGCGGUGGCCACCACUGUGCGCGGAGAUGGCUGCGACGCGUGCGCAGAUCUCGAUCCCAAACUCCCUCCUGCCAGAAUCUGGACCCGAAUCCACCCAUUGCCCAUUUUCCGCUGCCGCUGGAGAGAAUCUCUGAGGUCCCCAGGACAGCCUGCCUGCACGGAAGAGAUGCCUCCUCAAUUAAAUGCUGUUUUCCAUGACCGUCUCUGUUCUUCCCAUACGCGAAUGGCAGGCAUCCAGAUCUCCAAGAAUAGAGGAUUAGGAGAGACUCCACCACCUAUGUCCUCACAGUUAAUUAUCGAUUUGUGUCACUUGCCCAUUUUCUCACUUCCUGUUUGUGUGUCAAGGAGUAUUAAUAAAUCUUUGCCUAUUUAAAGAUACUAGCCUUGGAUUUUCAAAUAUUGCAUAUUUUGACAUGUAAAAAUGUGUUAGUUUUAUUUUUUCAACCGAUCUGACCUGUAUAGUUGGGCUUGAGGAAGCUUCCUCAUUGUACAUGUUACUAUGGAUUUUUUAAUAUUAACACAGAGUUGUAUUUUUUCCAUAUAAAUUUCUAUUGAAUUUCUUUUUCCAUAUGAUAGGUGGUGAAGGUUUAGCCCAGUAAAGCAGAGAGGUUAAGAGGUUAGACUGGGGGCUCUGGAGCCAGACCUAUGUAGAUCUGAGUCCUGGCUCUGGCACUUGAAAGCCGUGUGACCUUGGUUAAGAUACUUAGCCCCUCUCUGCCAAAUGGAGAAAUAAGGGCACCUACCCCGUAGGGUAGUUGUGUGAGUACACAAGUUAAUACACUUCAAUCACUAGCAAGAAAGUGAAUGUCAAGCUGUAUUUGUUCAGGCAGCCAUAUGGUAGCCCCACCUCAUUAGUAAACUGAGGUAUUGAAGUAUCUUCUUUUUCUUUCAGAAAAUAUUUGUCAAGCACCUUCUGUGUUCUAAGAACUGUUCUAGAGCUUUGCAUGCUAUGGAGGUCUAGAAAUUCACAUUAUGGUGGCAGGUGACAGACAAUACAAAGAGAUAAAGCAAUUUCAUAUAGUGAUAACCUAGGGAGGCGUGCUAAAAGGAGCCAAGGUGUAGUGGUGACUGGAAGGUGACCAGGGAAACCACUGUAGGGUUUCUAACUGAUGAGAUCUGUGACAAAUCCCUGUGGUCAGCAGCAGGCAUUGGAUAUGUAACUUUAUUCUGUCCCAUUGAUCUUGUAGUCAACCCUGGUCUGUUCUGUAUUGUUUUAAUUACAUAAUCUUUGUAAUAAUCUUUAA
Long non-coding RNA from Homo sapiens (human), 1479 nucleotides. Ensembl annotates it as family with sequence similarity 88 member E. Its record names the gene FAM88E. The record is from Ensembl. Lineage: Eukaryota; Metazoa; Chordata; Mammalia; Primates; Hominidae.